RNAcentral lists this ribosomal RNA (328 nucleotides) under Scutigerina malagassa. RNAcentral's name for it is "partial 12S ribosomal RNA". Lineage: Eukaryota; Metazoa; Arthropoda; Chilopoda; Scutigeromorpha; Scutigerinidae. The record is from RNAcentral.
UAAAGUAGUAUUAGAGUACUUGAAACUUAAAGAAUUUGGCGGUAUAUUAAUYUUAUUAGAGGAGCCUGUCCYGUAAUCGAUAAUCCMCSUUUAUUUAACCUUAAUUUGUAAUUACAGUUUGUAUAUCGCUGUCGAAAGAUUAUUUCUUGAGAUAUUUUUCUUUAGUAAUUAUUUAUAGAUGACAAGUCAGGGUGCAGCAUAUAUUUAGGUGUGAGAUGGGCUACAAURGUUGAARUUAUACUGAUAUARAUAUGUAAUUGUUUAUUGAGGGUGGAUUUAAUUGUAAUAUAAAUUUAAAUUAUUUUUGUGAAAUAGUACUAAUAUAUGC